CAGGCCCUGCAGGCAGCAGAAGUGAGGCACGCGGAGCCCCGGCCCCGGCGGCUGGGGGCACGGCUGGUGGAGACCCACGCCCAGAGAAGAGCCAUGGCGGAGGUCUGACUCAGGAAGGGCUUGGAGUCUGGCUUCCUCACUCCCCUGUGGGGACUGUCUAGUGAAGAGCAAAACAUCCUAAUGCAGGUUCCACCUUGAGACGCUGAUUUAGUUGGUCUGGGGCGUGGCCAGGCCAUUGGGACUGAUAAAACCUUCCUCGGUGAUUCCAACUGUACAGCCAAGAUCUAUUUUGUGGUGGGACUUUCUCCUUGAGUGUGGGCUGGACUUCAGGGCUUAUUUGUGGUGUAGACUUCCAGGACUAGGGAAGCCUCCCCCCUUGCCAUGCUCUCACAACACACUUGAGUUGCCAUGUCGCAAGCACCCUCAAGUAGCCUCUGGAGAGACAAGGAACCGAGGUCUCCUGCCAACAGCCACGUGAGGGAGCCAUCCUGGAAGCAGAACCUCCAGCCUCAGCUUCCUCGUGCUGAAGACCGUUAGAUGGAGCCUAAGCACCAUACUUGGGGGCUAUUUUGUGGGAAAUCACCCAUAAAAAGUACAGAAAUGUGAAGAACAUGGCACUAAGAAGACUGUGACAAGGGUACCCGUUGACAGUAGGAGAGCUGAAACAAGAAGGGGGAGCAUCAGCUGGUUCAGUCUCAGCUGGGAAGAGAGAGAGAGAGCACAAACAAGGGGAGCGGCAGGC
Molecule: long non-coding RNA, 742 nt
Organism: Mustela erminea (ermine)
Lineage: Eukaryota; Metazoa; Chordata; Mammalia; Carnivora; Mustelidae
Exons: 5
Source: RefSeq, a predicted model, not a curated record